This 8851-nucleotide long non-coding RNA is filed under the name Malus domestica (apple). Its description in RNAcentral is "long non-coding RNA (MDOM_LNC011001)". The record is from RNAcentral. Lineage: Eukaryota; Viridiplantae; Streptophyta; Magnoliopsida; Rosales; Rosaceae.
UUUUAAAAUACAAUUAUUAAAAUGGAAACCCUCGAGGGUGAGUCAUACUUUUGUGAAUUCUGUCAGAAUACCGUUGGAUUCCUCGUGGCCACCAAAACUCUGCUAUCAAGAACCUGGAGGGGUGAAAAACAAAAUUGAGUGGGUCAGUAAAACCAAGCUUUUCAAAAACAUUUCGCCAAAAAUAAUUCUAACCCCUCACUGUAAAACCUGUAUACUUUUCCCAGAAAAUAGUAUAAUAACAUAAUACUUUUCAUAAAUCUCGAAUCAUCAAUUUUUCUUUAAAACCCGAAAGUAUGCCAUGAUUUAAUUUCGAAAACAAAAUAAAUGAUGCAUCAAUGUAACAGGUGAAAAGUUGAAUUAACCGGAGACCCUGCAGUUGGUCCUGUACGGUUAAUUCCAUAGCUCAACAUCCAAUCCAACCGGAGUCACCUCGAUGACCUGUACGGCACUACACUGCAGAUAAGUCGGAACUACCUGAAGUAGUCUGUACGACAUGGAUGGUGUAAUAAUACGCUCUAGUGCUUCUCUCAUCAAUCAUCUGUGCACAUAAUCUAAGGUCACCCACUAGUCGGAAUCACAUCUAGUAAUCUAUACGACUAGCAGCAUGUCGGAACCCUCACUUGGUCUGUACGACAUCCACCUACUUGGAUCCAAGACGAGCGUGCGGUGUGGUGAAUAAUAUAAGCACUAACACCAUGAUUGCAGGUUAUGAGCUAUCCACAAUAUACACAUCAACAAUGCACAUGAAUAAUAUAAAACUCACCUGAUACUUACCUGUGCGUCCACAGCACCAAUUCACAUAUAAAUAUGCAUCAUAUAUCAAUUCAUGCUUUUCAUAUACUUCUAUGCAUGGCAUUUCAAAUCAUACUUUUCAUAUAAAUUCAAUUUCUGGGAAAACUCAAUAGUAUAUAGGUAAUACGAAAACAAAACUGCCCACUCACCUGGAGUUCGCCCUACAACUCCCUAGCACAACACAUCAAGGCGUCAUGACGAUCGCCGCCUAGAACAAUAAUCAAAUCCAACCUCAGAAAUCAUAUCGAUAGGAUAUAACUUAUAUAAAACACAUCACUACGCAGUUCGAUCCGAAAGAUCUGCAACUCAGAUUUUAAAUCUAUAACUUCUAGAGAUCCACAAUAUAUCUCUAGGACAACAUCCUGAAAUUUCAUUACCAUCCAACGGUCGGAUCUCCGUCAAUUUCCAAAACUAAGUGACGGUUAACAUUUUAUUUUAUGAACUUACAACUCUAAUUCCGGAAGAUCCGUAACUCGGAUUCCCAAUCCGUAAGUUCCAAUAAUCCUCAAAUAUUACGUAUUACAACGUAUCAAAGUUUGGUGACGAUCCAACGGUCGGAUCGUCAAUUCACAUUUUCACCUAAAUGCGAAAACUAUAAAACGUUAUUUAAAGCACCUAACCAAUAAUCGUAAUAACUUUUUCAUACGGUGCUCAAUUUGGGUAUAUGAAUAUACCACAGUGAUCUACUCGACGUCACGAACGUCGACAUAUUUUAAGAUUAUUUGUUUGAUGUGCCACGCGCCCCCACGCGCCAGGACAAGCACGGGGACACGCGCCCCCACGCGCAUCAUCCCCAACCCUGGGUUCGCCGGACUGGUUUUUCCGGCGGCCGGUUUCCGGCCAAACUUCAAACGCCUUGUUCUCCUUCGUUUCUCAACCAUUUUAUUCGUAUAAUAUAUCAAAUUGAAGCCCCAAACAUGUAGAAUCACAAUACACUACUUUAAGGCUCUAAAAACAACUAAAUCUCACCGGAAAAAUCCAAGCAAAACCGGCCAAAGUCGAACUCGACGAUCCCGACGUCCAAACCUUCCAAACGAACGUCCCCGAGCUUCCUUAGGACCUCACUAAGCUCACUAUAAGCUUAGAAUUCCCUGAAAAUCAACAUUUCAUGUGUGCAUGAACAGUACUCAAAAACUGGGGUUCGGGUUUCAGGGGUUUUUCGAAGGUUUCACUUCCUAAAACUAGCAUCAAUGAACUCAGGACGUCGAAACGAUGAAGAUACAUACCUUAUUUGCCUCGAUCCGUCGAGUUUUUGGAGGGUUUGGGUGUGUGCCGUACGAUGGGUGUGUGUGUGGGUGCGAAGUCGAGAGAGACAGAGACAGGAAAAGCAUGGGGGAAGGAGAGGGAGAGAGAGAGGUCUUGUGUGGUCCAAACUAAUCCACACCCUCCAUUUCAUCCUAAUCAUACGUACCAAAAAUCAAUUUCCAACACAAAUCCCAUCCAACCAUAUGACAUUCUCUCAAUUAACCAAUGCCUAAUUCAAAAUAACGUUACAUACUUACGUACCUUAGUAACGACAAGGGCAUUCCCGCCAUUUCAUAUUCCCGUCAACAGUACCCCCGGGACGGGCUGUGACAAUCUUCCCCCCUUAUAGAAUUUCGUCCCCGAAAUUCCCAUAACCAAAAAAAUCAUUUAAUACUCGUAGAAUAAUCUUGGGUACAUCUCUCUCAUCCGGUCUUCCGUCUCCCAAGUAGCUUCUUCUACAGAAUGGUUUCUCCAUAACACCUUCACCAAACUCACCGUCUUGUUCCUUAGAACCUUAUCUUUCCAAUCCAAGAUAGUCACUGGUUUCUCAUCAUACGUCAAAUCUGGAUUAAUCUCUAACGGUUGAGGAGGAAUCACAUGAGAAGGAUCGGAAAUAUAAUGCCGAAGCAUAGAGACGUGAAACACAUUAUGGACCUUAGAUAACUUCGGAGGCAACUCCAACCGGUAGGCAACUUCACCAAUUCUUUCGGUGAUCUCAUAAGGUCCAAUAUAUCUCAGACUUAGCGUUCCUCUUUUCCCAAAUCGUACCACACCUCUCCAAGGUGACAAUUUCAAAAACACCAAAUUACCCACAUCAUAAACUCGAUCAAUAGCAUGUCUAUCUGCUAUGCUCUUAUGUCGUUCUUGGGCCGCUUUCAGGUUAGCCUUAAUCACCUGAACAUUUUGAGUAGUCUCAUCCACAAUUUCUGGGCCUUCCAAUACUCUUUCACCAACCUCUGACCAACAUAAUGGCGUACGACACGCCCUACCAUAAAGUGCUUCAAAUGGUGACAUACCAAUGCUCAAAUGAAAACUAAUGUUGUAGACAAAUUUCAUUAAAUCUAGGCGAUCAGAAACAAUAUUCACUGGAACGCCAUGAUACCUCACAAUAUUUGUGAUGAACAGCUUAGCCAAUUUAUUCAAAGGAUACUUUUCUCCCACUGAAAUGGAGUGUGCUGGCUUGGUAAGCCGAUCUACAACCACCCAAACGCUAUCAAAUCCAUUCUGUGUACGUGGAAGCUUAUACACAGAAUCCAUAGUGAUAUUUUCCCAUUUCCACUGAGGAACGGGAAGUGGCCGCAUCCGACCAAAAGGUUUCUUUCUUUCUGCCUUCACUUGCUGGCAAAUAAUACAUCCACUCACAUACUCAGCAAUUUCUCUUUUCAUACCAGGCCAAUAAUAAAAUGGUCGAAUGGUAUGAUACAUUUUAGUUCCUCCCGGGUGCAUCGCAUAAGCUGAACAAUGCGCUUCAUCCAAAAUUUCCUUCCUCACUUUUCUAGGCGUCAAGUAGACAAUCAACUAAAAUCAGCCUAACUUGAAAAUUAGCCAAUAAAACUUCUUCUUAACUUUUACCUUAAGUUUCACUCUAGGGUCCCAAAUCUGCAAGAAGGGAAAACACAACAAGCAUACAAAGCAUUAAUUCUUACUGGAGCCUUCCUACCAAGUGCAUCGGUCGCAACAAUUUCACGAUCACCCUGGUCUUGUAAUCAUAAUUAUUUAGUAACUCAAUCCACCUUCGUUGCCUAAGAUUAGAUUCAUCUGAGUAAACAGAUAUUGGAGACUCUUAUGAUUCGUAGAAAUCUUACACUUUUCUUCAUAAAGAUGAUGUCUCCCAAUCUUCCCAGCAAAGAUGAUAGUUGUUAAUUCCAAAUCACGAGUAGAGUAAUUUAUCUCAUGAGGUUUCCAUUUGUUGCGGUGCAUAGACAAUUACCUUAACACUUCCACUUUAACAUAUCCAACACCAUACAAAGAAGCAUCAUUAAAACCUCAUAAUUACCGUUAUCGUCUUGAAGUGUUAAAACAUACGCAUGAGUGAGGAAAUACCGUAACUGUUGAAAACUUUACUCACAAUUUCCUUCUCACUCAAACUUAACCUCUUUCCUUAUCAAUCGUGUCAAUGGCAAGGUAAUAACUAAAAAAAAAACCUUCAACAAACCAUUUAUAACACCCUGCUAAGCCAAGAAAUUUCCAAACUUCAGCCACGGUUCGCGGUUGUUCCAAAUUCUCAAUCGCUGCUACCUUUUAAAAUUUCGCUUGAAUACCUUAACCAUAUAUAACGCAUUUUAUAAUUGUUGUUUGAUUCAUACAACAUUGACACUUGCUAAACUUAGCAUACAAUCAACGUUCCUUCAAUCUUUGCAACACCAACUCGAAAUAUCUAACAUGCUCUGCUCUAGGCUUAGAGUAUCCCAGAGUAUCGUCAAUGAAAACAAUAACGAACCUGUCAAGAUAUUCUUGGAAAACUUCAUCCAUCAACUUAUAAAACAGCAGGAGAAUCCGUCAAUUCGAAUAGCAUCACUAAAAUUCAUAAUGACCAUAAUGAGUCCUAAAAACAAUCUUAGGAACAUUAUCACUAACUCUUCAAUUGGUAAUAACCCGACCUUAAGUCAACCUUAGAAAAUCCGCAGACACCUUUAAAUUGAUCAACAAUUCAUUAAUAUGCAACAAUGGAUAACGGUUCUCAAUCUUUACCUGAUUCAAUUGCCUAUAUUCAAUGUAUAGCCUUAAUGUCCAUUUUCUUCCUCAACAAUAAGCUGGUGCUCCCUCUACGUGAUGUACUUUGAAUGAACCUUUAUCAACUAAUUCAUGUAAUCGAAUUUCCAAUUCCCUUAACUCAUCAUGAACCAAUCUCUAACAUAAAAUUUGUACCUGGAGACAAUUCAACAUUGAACUCUACAUCUCCGCCCGACAACAAUCCAGGUAAUUCCUCAGGGAAAACAUCAAAAAAUGUCUAACCACCUUUACAUUUUCCAAAAUACUAGAAGCAACUCAUUUAGCACCACACGAGCUAAGUAUCCUUGGCAGCCUUUCAAUAACAAUCUCUUUGCUCUCACAGCAUAAAUGAUGGCCUAACUCAAUCCACUUUGCUCAAUCACAAAGGUAACCUUUGAUAAUCCAUAUUGGCAAGAUUAUAACCUAACCAAUCUGUGCUUAAAAUCACAUCGAAAUCCACAAUGUCUAACAGGAUAAGAUUCACUGGCAUAACUACUUCUUCCACCAUCACUGGACACCCUGAAGGUGUAUUAUUAUCAUCUUGUUCUUCAUUAGAAAUACAUAAAUACGCCUCGAUCGUGCUCCAACAUUACUCUCUUUGGCAACAUCGUCCAUAAUAAGAAAUAUAUCAGCCGGAGUCAGCUAGAAUGACCUGUACGGCUUACUCCUCAAUUUUCCAAAUAAUAUGUUCGCCGGAUCCACCUCUUGUGGCCUGUACGGCUGGACUUAUAACUCAUCAAAUAUCCCUGUACUCACGGCCCAUCUGACCAAACUAUUAAGUCCAUAAACCUGCUGGAUCGAUAUUGUGGUGUCAGGGAAGACUGUUGGGUAAUAACUGAUUCUAGGGACCAUUCAUAACUCUAUGUCCCAUCCGUCCACAUGAACACAUUCACUGAUCCCCACACUUUCCAAAGUGUCUAAUAUUGUACCUAUGGCACAAAGGUACAUUUCUCUUAUUCAAAUCACCUUAUCUCUGAGAUCUGGGCUCACCAAUAAAUCUAUCCCUUCGCCUCUGACCAGUGGCAUCAAAAUCUCAGCUGGAAGAAUUAGUUCUAACUUCACUUCUUUUGAAGCUCUGAGUCUUUCGAUGUCCUUGAUAUGACGGAUCUUUAAACUUAUCGUCUGUCUUCUAAUCACCAUUCUUUUCUUAUUCUUCUUUACUCUCGCUGAUCAUGUUCUCAGAGUCCUCAAUUCUCAACAACAUCUCGUAAAUUCUUGGUAAAUAGUACAUUGGAUAGUGAUCGCCAAAGAACGCCACUUCCUCUUAUUAUCCAGCCUAAAACAACAUAACACCUCAACCCUUAGCAACAAUAUCCGAAUGGAAACGAGGCAAGUCUAAAAACUUUCUAUAAUACUCAUUUGUCGUCAUCUUCCUUGUUUUCCAUAUGCAAACUCUUGUUUACUACCAUCAUAAUAUGCCGGAGGAAUAAAUCUUUUCUUUAACAAUUCUUUAAACAAUUCUCAAUCGGCUGUUUCCUCCGGUGACGACGAAUAAUACUCCUGUUUCCACCAUAAUAUAAAUUCAUAACCCACAACCAGGUAGUCGUCUCGACCCGACUGUCAGAAGGAAGAUUCCUUUGAUUGGCAUAACCCAAAACGUCUUUUCCAAGUGAGUAAGCCAACACUCUGCUCCCUCGGGUUCAUAAUUUCCAUAAAGUGAUUCAAAUUCAACUUAUAACCAGUCUCAAAGAGUUUCUUAGAUAAUAGACUGAAUCACAAUAGUAAUAGUUUCCCCCUAAACUGCUAAAUUAGAGAAACUAAGCUUAUCUGAACGGCGUGGCUCCCUACGAGGUGGUAUAGUUCUGACAGAAGACACUAGGGAAUUCUCAAGAUGUUCAGGAUUGCAACCUAUGCUCUGAUACCAACUGACACACCCCGUCCCGAAGGAGGGCAUGCUGGCCGUCACAUGAGAGUGACGUAACCAUUUACACAGUUCGGAAGCUUUUAAAAUACAAUUAUUAAAAUGGAAACCCUCGAGGGUGAGUCAUACUUUUGUGAAUUCUGUCAGAAUACCGUUGGAUUCCUCGUGGCCACCAAAACUCUGCUAUCAAGAACCUGGAGGGGUGAAAAACAAAAUUGAGUGGGUCAGUAAAACCAAGCUUUUCAAAAACAUUUCGCCAAAAAUAAUUCUAACCCCUCACUGUAAAACCUGUAUACUUUUCCCAGAAAAUAGUAUAAUAACAUAAUACUUUUCAUAAAUCUCGAAUCAUCAAUUUUUCUUUAAAAAACCCGAAAGUAUGCCAUGAUUUAAUUUCGAAAACAAAAUAAAUGAUGCAUCAAUGUAACAGGUGAAAAGUUGAAUUAACCGGAGACCCUGCAGUUGGUCCUGUACGGUUAAUUCCAUAGCUCAACAUCCAAUCCAACCGGAGUCACCUCGAUGACCUGUACGGCACUACACUGCAGAUAAGUCGGAACUACCUGAAGUAGUCUGUACGACAUGGAUGGUGUAAUAAUACGCUCUAGUGCUUCUCUCAUCAAUCAUCUGUGCACAUAAUCUAAGGUCACCCACUAGUCGGAAUCACAUCUAGUAAUCUAUACGACUAGCAUGUCGGAACCCUCACUUGGUCUGUACGACAUCCACCUACUUGGAUCCAAGACGAGCGUGCGGUGUGGUGAAUAAUAUAAGCACUAACACCAUGAUUGCAGGUUAUGAGCUAUCCACAAUAUACACAUCAACAAUGCACAUGAAUAAUAUAAAACUCACCUGAUACUUACCUGUGCGUCCACAGCACCAAUUCACAUAUAAAUAUGCAUCAUAUAUCAAUUCAUGCUUUUCAUAUACUUCUAUGCAUGGCAUUUCAAAUCAUACUUUUCAUAUAAAUUCAAUUUCUGGGAAAACUCAAUAGUAUAUAGGUAAUACGAAAACAAAACUGCCCACUCACCUGGAGUUCGCCCUACAACUCCCUAGCACAACACAUCAAGGCGUCAUGACGAUCGCCGCCUAGAACAAUAAUCAAAUCCAACCUCAGAAAUCAUAUCGAUAGGAUAUAACUUAUAUAAAACACAUCACUACACGCAGUUCGAUCCGAAAGAUCUGCAACUCAGAUUUUAAAUCUAUAACUUCUAGAGAUCCACAAUAUAUCUCUAGGACAACAUCCUGAAAUUUCAUUACCAUCCAACGGUCGGAUCUCCGUCAAUUUCCAAAACUAAGUGACGGUUAACAUUUUAUUUUAUGAACUUACAACUCUAAUUCCGGAAGAUCCGUAACUCGGAUUCCCAAUCCGUAAGUUCCAAUAAUCCUCAAAUAUUACGUAUUACAACGUAUCAAAGUUUGGUGACGAUCCAACGGUCAGAUCGUCAAUUCACAUUUUCACCUAAAUGCGAAAACUAUAAAACGUUAUUUAAAGCACCUAACCAAUAAUCGUAAUAACUUUUUCAUACGGUGCUCAAUUUGGGUAUAUGAAUAUACCACAGUGAUCUACUCGACGUCACGAACGUCGACAUAUUUUAAGAUUAUUUGUUUGAUGUGCCACGCGCCCCCACGCGCCAGGACAAGCACGGGGACACGCGCCCCCACGCGCAUCAUCCCCAACCCUGGGUUCGCCGGACUGGUUUUUCCGGCGGCCGGUUUCCGGCCAAACUUCAAACGCCUUGUUCUCCUUCGUUUCUCAACCAUUUUAUUCGUAUAAUAUAUCAAAUUGAAGCCCCAAACAUGUAGAAUCACAAUACACUACUUUAAGGCUCUAAAAACAACUAAAUCUCACCGGAAAAAUCCAAGCAAAACCGGCCAAAGUCGAACUCGACGAUCCCGACGUCCAAACCUUCCAAACGAACGUCCCCGAGCUUCCUUAGGACCUCACUAAGCUCACUAUAAGCUUAGAAUUCCCUGAAAAUCAACAUUUCAUGUGUGCAUAUGAACAGUACUCAAAAACUGGGGUUCGGGUUUCAGGGGUUUUUCGAAGGUUUCACUUCCUAAAACUAGCAUCAAUGAACUCAGGACGUCGAAACGAUGAAGAUACAUACCUUAUUUGCCUCGAUCCGUCGAGUUUUUGGAGGGUUUGGGUGUGUGCCGUACGAUGGGUGUGUGUGUGGGUGCGAAGUCGAGAGAGACAGAGACAGGAAAAGCAUGGGGGAAGGAGAGGGAGAGAGAGAGGUCUUGUGU